CAUUACCGAGUGCGGGUUCGAACGAGCCCAACCUCCCACCCGUGUUUACUGUUACCGCGUUGCCUCGGCGGGCCCACUGGGGCCUGGCCCCGGUCGCCGGGGGGCUUCUGCCCCCGGGCCCGCUCCCGCCGAAGCACCCUAGAACCCUGCCUGAACAGUGAGUCUGAGUGAGAUUUUAAAUCAUUAAAACUUUCAACAACGGAUCUCUUGGUUCCGGCAUCGAUGAAGAACGCAGCGAAAUGCGAUAAGUAAUGUGAAUUGCAGAAUUCCGUGAAUCAUCGAAUCUUUGAACGCACAUUGCGCCCCCUGGCAUUCCGGGGGGCAUGCCUGUCCGAGCGUCAUUUCUGCCCUCCAGCACGGUGGGCUUUUGGGCGCUGUCCCCCCGGGGACACGCCCCAAAAGCAGUGGCGGCGCCGCGUCGGGUCCUCGAGCGUAUGGGGCUCUGUCACCCGCUCGGGAGGGACUCGGUCGGCGCUGGUCUUCCCUUUAGGCCGCCCUUCGGGGUGCGCCUCUUCCGGUUGACCUCGGAUCAGGUAGGGCUACCCGCUGAACUUAAGCAUAUCAAUAAGCGGA
Molecule: ribosomal RNA, 573 nt
Filed under: fungal sp.
Lineage: Eukaryota; Fungi
Description: eukaryotic LSU rRNA
Rfam family: 5.8S ribosomal RNA (bases 188-341)
Source: RNAcentral